GACGAACGCUGGCGGCGCGCUUAACACAUGCAAGUCGAACGGAAAGGCCUGCUUUCCCUUGUGGAUUGCGGGUACUCGAGUGGCGAACGGGUGAGUAACACGUGAGUGAUCUGCCCCCAACUUGGGUAUAAGCCUGGGAAACUGGGUCUAAUUCCCGAUAGGACUGCAGGGUGGUUCCUGUGGUGGAAAACGAUGUUCUAGUGGUUGGGGAUGAGCUCGCGGCCUAUCAGCUUGUUGGUGGGGUAAUGGCCUACCAAGGCGGCGACGGGGAGGCGGCCAGGGAGGGUGGACCGCCACAGUGGGACUGAGAUACGGCCCAGACUCCAACGAGAGGCAGCAGUGGGGAGUAUGGCACAAUGGGCGGAGGCCUGAUGCAGCGACGCCGAGUGGGGGAUGACGGCCUUCGGGUUGUGAACUCCUUUCGACCACGAGGAAGCCACCUGGUUGGAAGGGUGGUGACGGUAGUGGUAGAAGAAGCACCGGCCAACUACGUG
RNAcentral lists this ribosomal RNA (494 nucleotides) under uncultured bacterium. Its description in RNAcentral is "partial 16S ribosomal RNA". It matches the Rfam family "Bacterial small subunit ribosomal RNA", at positions 28 to 507 of the family's 1533-position model. The record is from RNAcentral.